AUUGAACGCUGGCGGCAGGCCUAACACAUGCAAGUCGAACGAGUGGCGGACGGGUGAGUAAUGUCUGGGAAACUGCCCGAUGGAGGGGGAUAACUACUGGAAACGGUAGCUAAUACCGCAUACCAUCGGAUGUGCCCAGAUGGGAUUAGCUCGGAGGGGGGGUAACGGCUCACCUAGGCGACGAUCCCUAUCUGGUCUGAGAGGGUGCCCAGCCAAACUGGAACUGAGACACGGGCCAGACUCCGACGGGAGGCAGCAGUGGGGAAUAUUGCACAAUGGGAGCAAGGCUGAUGCAGCCAUUCCGCGUGUAGGAAGAAGGCCUUCGGGUUGGAAAGUACUUUCAGCGAGGAGGAGUUAAUCGCAGAAGAAGCACCGGCUAACUCCGUGCCAGCAGCCGCGGGAAUAC
Molecule: ribosomal RNA, 406 nt
Filed under: uncultured bacterium
Lineage: Bacteria
Description: partial 16S ribosomal RNA
Rfam family: Bacterial small subunit ribosomal RNA
Source: RNAcentral